RNAcentral lists this ribosomal RNA (392 nucleotides) under uncultured bacterium. Its description in RNAcentral is "partial 16S ribosomal RNA". It matches the Rfam family "Bacterial small subunit ribosomal RNA", at positions 338 to 726 of the family's 1533-position model. The record is from RNAcentral.
CCUACGGGAGGCUGCAGUGAGGAAUAUUGGUCAAUGGGCGCAAGCCUGAACCAGCCAAGUCGCGUGAGGGAUGACGGUCCUAUGGAUUGUAAACCUCUUUUGUCGGGGAGCAAGGCUCGCCACGUGUGGCGGGAAGGAGAGUACCUGAAGAAAAAGCAUUGGCUAACUCCGUGCCAGCAGCCGCGGUAAUAGGGAGGAUCCGAGCGUUAUCCGGAUUGAUUGGGUUUAAAGGGUGCGUAGGCGGCCUUUUAAGUCAGUGGUGCAAGUCUGUGCGUCAACCAUAGAAUUGCCGUUGAAACUGGUAGGCUUGAGUAUGUUAGAGGCAGGCGGAAUGCGAGGUGUAGCGGUGAAAUGCUUAGAUAUAACGAAGAACCCCGAUGGCGAAGGCAGCC